This 468-nucleotide ribosomal RNA is filed under the name uncultured bacterium. Its description in RNAcentral is "partial 16S ribosomal RNA". It matches the Rfam family "Bacterial small subunit ribosomal RNA", at positions 28 to 507 of the family's 1533-position model. The record is from RNAcentral.
GAUGAACGCUGGCGGCGUGCUUAACACAUGCAAGUCGAACGGUGAAGGCGGAGCUUGCUCUGCUGGAUCAGUGGCGAACGGGUGAGUAACACGUGAGCAAUCUGCCCCUGACUCUGGGAUAAGCGCUGGAAACGGCGUCUAAUACUGGAUACGAGCUGCGAAGGCAUCUUCAGCAGCUGGAAAGAAUUUCGGUCAGGGAUGAGCUCGCGGCCUAUCAGCUUGUUGGUGAGGUAAUGGCUCACCAAGGCGUCGACGGGUAGCCGGCCUGAGAGGGUGACCGGCCACACUAGGACUGAGACACGGCCCAGACUCCUACGGGAGGCAGCAGUGGGGAAUAUUGCACAAUGGGCGAAAGCCUGAUGCAGCAACGCCGCGUGAGGGACGACGGCCUUCGGGUUGUAAACCUCUUUUAGCAGGGAAGAAGCGAAAGUGACGGUACCUGCAGAAAAAGCGCCGGCUAACUACGCG